AACCGUGGUAAUUCUAGAGCUAAUACAUGCUAAAAACCCCGACUUCGGAAGGGGUGUAUUUAUUAGAUUAAAAACCAACGCCCUUCGGGGCUCCUUGGUGAAUCAUAAUAACUCAACGAAUCGCAUGGCCUUGCGCCGGCGAUGGUUCAUUCAAAUUUCUGCCCUAUCAACUUUCGAUGGUAGGAUAGUGGCCUACCAUGGUUUCAACGGGUAACGGGGGAUUAGGGUUCGACUCCGGAGAGGGAGCCUGAGAAACGGCUACCACAUCCAAGGAAGGCAGCAGGCGCGCAAAUUACCCAAUCCCGACACGGGGAGGUAGUGACAAUAAAUACUGAUACAGGGCUCUUUUGGGUCUUGUAAUUGGAAUGAGUACAAUUUAAAUCCCUUAACGAGGAACAAUUGGAGGGCAAGUCUGGUGCCAGCAGCCGCGGUAAUUCCAGCUCCAAUAGCGUAUAUUAAAGUUGUUGCAGUUAAAAAGCUCGUAGUUGAACCUUGGGCCUGGCUGGCCGGUCCGCCUCACCGCGUGCACUGGUCCGGCCGGGCCUUUCCUUCUGGGGAACCGCAUGGCCUUCACUGGCCGUGCCGGGGAACCAGGACUUUUACUUUGAAAAAAUUAGAGUGUUCAAAGCAGGCCUUUGCUCGGAUACAUUAGCAGGAAUAAUAGAAUAGGACGG
This 674-nucleotide ribosomal RNA is filed under the name Normandina pulchella. RNAcentral describes it as "SSU rRNA". It matches the Rfam family "Eukaryotic small subunit ribosomal RNA", at positions 145 to 830 of the family's 1831-position model. The record is from RNAcentral. Lineage: Eukaryota; Fungi; Ascomycota; Eurotiomycetes; Verrucariales; Verrucariaceae.